Molecule: non-coding RNA, 1051 nt
Organism: Rattus norvegicus (Norway rat)
Lineage: Eukaryota; Metazoa; Chordata; Mammalia; Rodentia; Muridae
Source: RefSeq, a predicted model, not a curated record
UGACGAAUGGUAACAAGAAAACGUUGUCUUUGUUUCAUGAAUUAUACUGUUAAGUCUCUAUAAGAGUAAAAACUUGUAGGUGCCAUAGAAAUAUUCCCACACAUGACACACAGCAGCCUUGAGUUAGAGUGUAGGCGUUUCAAGCAAUGUUUGUGGAGAUGUUUGCUGUCAGGGCACAUGCAGUACAAAGUCAGUAUGCUGUGCAUUGAGAACCAAGACCACAGUGACAUCACAAUAUGCAAUGUGAGCGAACACUGACAGAAAGACCUUGGAUUCAUCAUACAUUUGAUUUUGAAUUCAUUUUCAGUCACUGCGUGUUUAGAACCUUUCUACCCUGGUGACUUUUUUUUUUUUGGAAGUCCAGUUACAGGACCCUCUCCAGCAUUGAGACCUACUUGAAUUUUUUAAAAUAUUUUUGUGCAUUGGGGGUGGUGUUUAUCUUUGUGGAGAUCUGCAGUUGGUUCUUUCACUUCCAUUGUGAACUCUGUGGAUGGAACUCAACCCCUGAGACUCACAGGGAGCACUUUACCGGAGAGGCUGCCUCAUCAGCCUGGAGCCUACAGUACGAUCAUUUCCAGGAAGGCGGCAGAAGAGGAAUCCCAGGCGCUACGUGAAACUCCAAAUCGCUUCUUGUGGGCGAAUUGUAUCUGGGUUACUUGCAUGCACGUGACGUCCAACUUUGAGGUUCCCACAGAGACCAAAAGAGGGCAUCAGAUCCCCUGAACCUGGAGUUACAGAAGGUUGUGGGACUUGGGGACUGGGAAUGGACCUGAACUCAGAUCUUCAACCUAUGUUUGGCACCACAUAGACAAAACACCCAGAUGACUGGCUGAAUUUGCGAAGACUUGCUGACAUGCACCAGAUGUUUCAGCUUCUUAAGACUGUGGAGCUCAGAGGUCCCUGGGGACAGCAGGAGAGAGCAGAUGUCCCCAAAGGACCUUUACCACCUGCACAUCAUCCGUGGAAACUUCAGUGGGUGUGCAACACAGUAGGGUUUAAAUUAAAAACGCUGAUGACCGUGGAAGGAAAAUACAAUGAAAAGUACAAGGAA